GUGGGGAAUAUUGGACAAUGGGCGAAAGCCUGAUCCAGCCAUGCCGCGUGUGUGAAGAAGGUCUUCGGAUUGUAAAGCACUUUAAGUUGGGAGGAAGGGCAGUAAGUUAAUACCUUGCUGUUUUGACGUUACCAACAGAAUAAGCACCGGCUAACUUCGUGCCAGCAGCCGCGGUAAUACGAAGGGUGCAAGCGUUAAUCGGAAUUACUGGGCGUAAAGCGCGCGUAGGUGGUUUUGUAAGUUGGAGGUGAAAUCCCCGGGCUCAACCUGGGAACUGCCUCCAAAAAUGCAUGACUAGAGUACGGUAGAGGGUAGUGGAAUUUCCUGUGUAGCGGUGAAAUGCGUAGAUAUAGGAAGGAACACCAGUGGCGAAGGCGACUACCUGGACUGAUACUGACACUGAGGUGCGAAAGCGUGGGGAGCAAACAGGAUUAGAUACCCGGGUAGUCC
This 450-nucleotide ribosomal RNA is filed under the name uncultured bacterium. RNAcentral's name for it is "partial 16S ribosomal RNA". It matches the Rfam family "Bacterial small subunit ribosomal RNA", at positions 354 to 796 of the family's 1533-position model. The record is from RNAcentral.